RNAcentral lists this ribosomal RNA (910 nucleotides) under uncultured bacterium. RNAcentral's name for it is "bacterial SSU rRNA". It matches the Rfam family "Bacterial small subunit ribosomal RNA", at positions 588 to 1498 of the family's 1533-position model. The record is from RNAcentral.
ACAGAUGUGAAUCCCCGGGCUCAACCUGGGAACUGCGUUUGUGACUGCAAGACUUGAGUGUGGCAGAGGGGGGUGGAAUUCACGUGUAGCAGUGAAAUGCGUAGAGAUGUGGAGGAACACCGAUGGCGAAGGCAGCCCCCUGGGUCAACACUGACGCUCAUGCACGAAAGCGUGGGUAGCAAACAGGAUUAGAUACCCUGGUAGUCCACGCCCUAAACGAUGCGAACUAGGUGUUGGAGAAGGAGACUUCUUUAGUACCGCAGCUAACGCGUGAAGUUCGCCGCCUGGGGAGUACGGUCGCAAGAUUAAAACUCAAAGGAAUUGACGGGGACCCGCACAAGCGGUGGAUGAUGUGGAUUAAUUCGAUGCAACGCGAAAAACCUUACCUACCCUUGACAUGCCAGGAAUUCUGCUGAGAGGUGGAAGUGCCCGAAAGGGAACCUGGACACAGGUGCUGCAUGGCUGUCGUCAGCUCGUGUCGUGAGAUGUUGGGUUAAGUCCCGCAACGAGCGCAACCCUUGUCGCUAAUUGCCAUCAUUAAGUUGGGCACUUUAGCGAGACUGCCGGUGACAAACCGGAGGAAGGUGGGGAUGACGUCAAGUCCUCAUGGCCCUUAUGGGUAGGGCUUCACACGUCAUACAAUGGUCGGUACAGAGGGUUGCCAACCCGCGAGGGGGAGCUAAUCCCAGAAAGCCGAUCGUAGUCCGGAUUGGAGUCUGCAACUCGACUCCAUGAAGUCGGAAUCGCUAGUAAUCGUGGAUCAGCAUGUCACGGUGAAUACGUUCCCGGGUCUUGUACACACCGCCCGUCACACCAUGGGAGUGGGUUUCACCAGAAGUAGGUAGCCUAACCGCAAGGAGGGCGCUUACCACGGUGGGAUUCAUGACUGGGGUGAAGUCGUAACAAGGUA